Molecule: ribosomal RNA, 766 nt
Filed under: uncultured bacterium
Lineage: Bacteria
Description: bacterial SSU rRNA
Rfam family: Bacterial small subunit ribosomal RNA
Source: RNAcentral
ACUGACACUGAGGCUCGAAAGCGUGGGUAGCAAACAGGAUUAGAUACCCUGGUAGUCCACGCCGUAAACGAUGUCUACUAGUCGUUGGGUCCCUUGAGGACUUAGUGACGCAGCUAACGCAAUAAGUAGACCGCCUGGGGAGUACGGCCGCAAGGUUAAAACUCAAAUGAAUUGACGGGGGCCCGCACAAGCGGUGGAGCAUGUGGUUUAAUUCGAUGCAACGCGAAGAACCUUACCUGGUCUUGACAUAUCUAGAAUCCUGCAGAGAUGCGGGAGUGCCUUCGGGAAUUAGAAUACAGGUGCUGCAUGGCUGUCGUCAGCUCGUGUCGUGAGAUGUUGGGUUAAGUCCCGCAACGAGCGCAACCCUUGUCCUUAGUUACCAGCGGGUUAAGCCGGGAACUCUAAGGAUACUGCCAGUGACAAACUGGAGGAAGGCGGGGACGACGUCAAGUCAUCAUGGCCCUUACGACCAGGGCUACACACGUGCUACAAUGGUAGGUACAGAGGGCAGCUACACAGCGAUGUGAUGCGAAUCUCAAAAAGCCUAUCGUAGUCCAGAUUGGAGUCUGCAACUCGACUCCAUGAAGUAGGAAUCGCUAGUAAUUGCGGAUCAGAAUGCCGCGGUGAAUACGUUCCCGGGCCUUGUACACACCGCCCGUCACACCAUGGGAGUUGAUUGCACCAGAAGUGGAUAGCUUAACCUUCGGGGAGGCGUUCACCACGGUGUGGUUGAUGACUGGGGUGAAGUCGUAACAAGGUAACCGUA